GUAGGUUGCCUAACCGCAAGGAGGGCGCUUCCUAAGGUAAGACCGAUGACUGGGGUGAAGUCGUAACAAGGUAGCCGUAUCGGAAGGUGCGGCUGGAUCACCUCCUUU
This 108-nucleotide ribosomal RNA is filed under the name Lactococcus lactis. Its description in RNAcentral is "partial 16S ribosomal RNA". It matches the Rfam family "Bacterial small subunit ribosomal RNA", at positions 1426 to 1533 of the family's 1533-position model. Lineage: Bacteria; Bacillati; Bacillota; Bacilli; Lactobacillales; Streptococcaceae. The record is from RNAcentral.